CCCGCUGAACUUAAGCAUAUCAAUAAGCGGAGGAAAAGAAACUAACAAGGAUUCCCCUAGUAACUGCGAGUGAAGCGGGAAGAGCUCAAAUUUAAAAUCUGGCGGCAUUGGCCGUCCGAGUUGUAAUCUGGAGAAGCGUUUUCUGUGUCGGACCGUGCAAAAGUUUCCUGGAACGGCAACGUCAUAGAGGGUGAGAAUCCCGUCCAUGGCACGGAUCACCGAGGCUUUGUGAUACGCUCUCGAAGAGUCGAGUUGUUUGGGAAUGCAGCUCAAAAUGGGUGGUAAAUUCCAUCUAAAGCUAAAUAUUGGCGAGAGACCGAUAGCGAACAAGUACCGUGAGGGAAAGAUGAAAAGAACUUUGGAAAGAGAGUUAAACAGUAUGUGAAAUUGCUGAAAGGGAAACGCUUGAUGUCAGUCACGUUGGCUAGGGAUCAACCUUGCUUCUCGCUGGGUGUAUUUCCUAGUGGACGGGUCAGCAUCAGUUUCGGUCGCUGUACAAGGGCAAAGGGAACGUGGCACUCCUUGGAGUGUGUUAUAGCCUUUCGUCGUAUGCAGUGGUUGGGACUGAGGAACUCGGCACGAAAUCUAUUUUGUGCUUAGGAUGCUGGCAUAAUGGCCUUAAGCGACCCGUCUUGAAACACGG
This 643-nucleotide ribosomal RNA is filed under the name uncultured fungus. RNAcentral's name for it is "eukaryotic LSU rRNA". It matches the Rfam family "Eukaryotic large subunit ribosomal RNA", at positions 24 to 664 of the family's 3401-position model. The record is from RNAcentral. Lineage: Eukaryota; Fungi.